UACGUAGGGUCCGAGCGUUGUCCGGAAUCACUGGGCGUAAAGGGCGCGUAGGUGGCGGGCCAAGUCAGUGGUGAAAGCUCGAUGCUCAACAUCGAGUCGGCCACUGAUACUGGUUUGCUUGAGCACUGUAGAGGCAGAUGGAAUUCCGGGUGUAGCGGUGGAAUGCGUAGAGAUCCGGAAGAACACCGGUGGCGAAGGCGGUCUGCUGGGCAGUUGCUGACACUGAGGCGCGACAGCGUGGGGAGCAAACAGG
This 253-nucleotide ribosomal RNA is filed under the name uncultured bacterium. Its description in RNAcentral is "partial 16S ribosomal RNA". It matches the Rfam family "Bacterial small subunit ribosomal RNA", at positions 524 to 776 of the family's 1533-position model. The record is from RNAcentral.